UUUGCAUCGCUGCUCUGCGGGUUUCGCCUCUACAGUCAUGGAAAUGAUAAAUAUUAUAUCGCCCAGAGAUAAUGUUGCUAAUCGUUUGUAACGAUGGGAUUAAGCUGAAAGAGAUGAAGCCCCGCUAGGAUUAAACUCGAGAGUAAUCUAGAGAAUAAAUAUAGAUCAAUGUCCUCUAGAUGAAUAUACGAAAUUAUUAGAGGUUUUAACAAUGUUUGAGGAUCGUUUAAGGGAUUAAUUUGAACGGAGACGUAAACGAAUGAUGAUAUGGUAAUAAUAUUACGGUUAGAAAUAAAUGUAAAUUUCAAAUACGACGUUGUAUCGUGGGAGACAAAUAUGAAUCGAUACCCCUGUAGUUAGAAAGAAAAAUACAGAUAAAGUAGAAGCGUUAUAGACGAUAGCACGAGAAGCGUGACAUAAAAUGAGAUUUAAAUUAGAAAACGUAAUUCACGCCAUCGUAUUUUGCAAGUUUAUUUUUACCGACAAUCGCGUUAUGUACUCGCGUUACAUUCCCUUUUUUUGGCGUUUAACGAGGAUUAACAAAUAACUUUGCUCGUAAGGUAUUACGUAUAUUGUGGCGUCGUUGGGAUACUAAAUUAUCCAAGCAUUUCCCAGCAUUUGCAUUUGCUAAUUAAAAAAGAAAUGGGAUAAAAAGGAUGAAAAUUGUUUGAAACGAUAUCGUUAAAAGUAGCGAUUACAUAUUUUAAUCAACCUCGUAUUUCCUACGUAAAUCGUGUUACUACCAUCGUCAUGUAAAUUUGCCACGACACACAUACAUUACCAGAUAACUUGUCUCUCGUAUCUAGCCAACGAUUAAUCUCCGUAACGUGGCGAUUAAACCACGACUGUGAGUAGGCAAGAAUAUCGAUUCAAACGAAUCAGAUGCAAAACAUGGUGUGUACGAUGUUCGUGUGCGUGUGCACGAGCCGAGGAACAGUUAACCGUUAUGGGAAGGGAGAAAAACACGCGCUAACGAACUUCAUGUUGACCAAUAGUCGUGGCGCGUUCUUGUUCGACCUACACGUCCGAUAAAUGAAUUCUGGUAAAAUUUUUUAUCGUUAAAAUACCUCGACUUCACGAAAGUCAACAUGCAGAAGGGACAAGAGGGGAAUAACUACAGAUGGACGGGACACUCAAUAUACCAUAUAUUGCGCGAGCAUGUUUCACUGGUAUCUCGCUCUUCUUGGAACACACAGAAGAAGUUAGACGUUCUUCCUCACCAAGCUCAGGUCAUAUACAUUCGCUGGUUCCUUAAUUGCCAGCCAGGAGUGGUUUCUCAGGAGGCAUACCGACUAGUCUCUUUUCAACCCAUACACUGACAAUGUGCUUCAUGCGACCUUCCGUACAAUCCAGUUUCACGAUCGUGGGACGAUCAGAAAAAAAAUCGCCUUGCGCAAGGGUUCGCUGCUUCGGCCGUCAGUUUAAAGUUUCUUAACGACUGGCGGAACUGGAUUUAAAGUGAACACGAUUUUACGAUCUUGUUAUAGGUGUAUCUUAGAUCUUUCAUUGUGUUUAUAAGAUGAUAGAUCGACCAGAUUACUUUAACUGGAUCUACCGACUACUAAAGUGUAAAACAUUUUCAAAAGAAAUCAAAAUGAAAGUUAUAUGAAAAAAUAUAUAAAGUAAAUCCCUAAAAUUAUGCGCCGCUGUAAAUUUAUAAAAUUUGUAUAAAAAUUACAAAUUGAUAUUAAUGCGACUAUUGAGCAACGUUGAAGUUUGUUAGCGUAUGUUUUUUCUGAUAUUAAAAAAAUGUUUUACUGAUAUUAUUAUGAGAUUUUUUUACAGAAUAAUUAGUGACGCAUAAAAAUUAUUGAUAAUAAGAAAUAUUAUUUUUAUGAACAAUGUAUAUUAUUGUUGAAUGUGAUAAAAAAGUAUCGCAUAAUGUUAGCGUGACGUCUCUGGGUUAGCGGGUUGAUGUCGAAUAAAAUGAAGACUUACACGCGGUCGUACUACGUGUAUAUGGCUGAUACGUAUACGAGAAGUGAUUGUCAGAAGUGACACGGCACGGGGGAGUAAAUCACGUCGGCAUUAAGACAAUUAGGUGUAGAACGACGGGUUCAGCCAAGUCAGUUGACAUGUCUUGGACAGAAACAGAUGUCUAAUAUGCCUUUUAUUUCGACUCCAUGGUCAACCAUACAUGCACAUAUAAGUUAAACACUUAUUCGAACCACAGGACGUACGUAGGAUAAAUGCAUGGGCGUCGAUACGGAGCAUUAGAAAUGAGGAAUAAUGUGACACAUAUAUUGUAAUCAUGUUGCAUUUCACGAAUAAAUCGCUAGCGGCAACCAUGUGCAUGAUACUAUUGAGAGAGUGUGCGUGUAUGCAAAAGUCUGCCCGUGCUGCGGUCGUGCAAUUGUGCGAAGGAAAUGAGAUCAAGUUUGAGUGAUUGCGGACAGCAGUCGAACAGAGGCGGAGAGAGGCAGGGAAUGGAGAUAGGACAGUUCAAGAACCGAAUCUACAGAUUGCCAGCUGGAUAAACUGGAACAAACGAAAUACUAGAUUUCUACGAGUAUCAAAUACCAUCGUUUAUAAUUAUUGAUACUUAAAAUAUAAAAAUAUAUUAUUACAGAGAAA
Molecule: long non-coding RNA, 2574 nt
Organism: Bombus pyrosoma
Lineage: Eukaryota; Metazoa; Arthropoda; Insecta; Hymenoptera; Apidae
Exons: 2
Source: RefSeq, a predicted model, not a curated record